ACGGGAGACACACGGCGGGUGCUAACGUCCGUCGUGAAGAGGGAAACAACCCAGACCGCCAGCUAAGGUCCCAAAGUCAUGGUUAAGUGGGAAACGAUGUGGGAAGGCCCAGACAGCCAGGAUGUUGGCUUAGAAGCAGCCAUCAUUUAAAGAAAGCGUAAUAGCUCACUGGUCGAGUCGGCCUGCGCGGAAGAUGUAACGGGGCUAAACCAUGCACCGAAGCUGCGGCAGCGACGCUUAUGCGUUGUUGGGUAGGGGAGCGUUCUGUAAGCCUGCGAAGGUGUGCUGUGAGGCAUGCUGGAGGUAUCAGAAGUGCGAAUGCUGACAUAAGUAACGAUAAAGCGGGUGAAAAGCCCGCUCGCCGGAAGACCAAGGGUUCCUGUCCAACGUUAAUCGGGGCAGGGUGAGUCGACCCCUAAGGCGAGGCCGAAAGGCGUAGUCGAUGGGAAACAGGUUAAUAUUCCUGUACUUGGUGUUACUGCGAAGGGGGGACGGAGAAGGCUAUGUUGGCCGGGCGACGGUUGUCCCGGUUUAAGCGUGUAGGCUGGUUUUCCAGGCAAAUCCGGAAAAUCAAGGCUGAGGCGUGAUGA
RNAcentral lists this ribosomal RNA (590 nucleotides) under Escherichia coli. RNAcentral describes it as "partial 23S ribosomal RNA". It matches the Rfam family "Bacterial large subunit ribosomal RNA", at positions 977 to 1569 of the family's 2925-position model. The record is from RNAcentral. Lineage: Bacteria; Pseudomonadati; Pseudomonadota; Gammaproteobacteria; Enterobacterales; Enterobacteriaceae.